ACGAACGCUGGCGGCGUGCUUAACACAUGCAAGUCGAACGGAAAGGCCCUGCUUUUGUGGGGUGCUCGAGUGGCGAACGGGUGAGUAACACGUGAGUAACCUGCCCUUGACUUUGGGAUAACUUCAGGAAACUGGGGCUAAUACCGGAUAGGAGCUCCUGCUGCAUGGUGGGGGUUGGAAAGUUUCGGCGGUUGGGGAUGGACUCGCGGCUUAUCAGCUUGUUGGUGGGGUAGUGGCUUACCAAGGCUUUGACGGGUAGCCGGCCUGAGAGGGUGACCGGCCACAUUGGGACUGAGAUACGGCCCAGACUCCUACGGGAGGCAGCAGUGGGGAAUAUUGCACAAUGGGCGGAAGCCUGAUGCAGCAACGCCGCGUGCGGGAGGACGGCCUUCGGGUUGUAAACCGCUUUCGCCUGUGACGAAGCGUGAGUGACGGUAAUGGGUAAAGAAGCACCGGCUAACUACGU
This 466-nucleotide ribosomal RNA is filed under the name uncultured bacterium. RNAcentral's name for it is "partial 16S ribosomal RNA". It matches the Rfam family "Bacterial small subunit ribosomal RNA", at positions 29 to 506 of the family's 1533-position model. The record is from RNAcentral.